RNAcentral lists this non-coding RNA (33 nucleotides) under unclassified sequences. The record is from RNAcentral.
GGGGCGUAAUCCGAAAAGCCUUAUGAGUAGGAA